Molecule: long non-coding RNA, 601 nt
Organism: Ornithodoros turicata
Lineage: Eukaryota; Metazoa; Arthropoda; Arachnida; Ixodida; Argasidae
Exons: 3
Source: RefSeq, a predicted model, not a curated record
UUACUAUUUUACGCACUGAGUAAUUUAAAUAUGAUUUAGCGGCACUUCUCACGACAGUAAACCCGAUGCAGUAAUCGGUAGCAAGUACAACGCUAGUGGAACAAAGGGACGUAGAUGAUUUAUAACAACUUCUAAGCAUUUUUGACAACAUGGCCGCACUGUGCUUUAAAGUGAGUGCGGAAAAUUUUUUUCGUGAGGAAAGCCGCAGCAGUUCAGUUAUUGUGAAAGAGAAAAUAUCGCAGGGCAAUACAUUCUCAGUACACAAUUCUACGUCCCAAAUAUAGUGUUUUUUUUUUCCUCUCUAGGUCUGCGCCUUUUAUCGUGAUUUCAGCGGUGCUGCCCCUUUUAUUCAUAGGAAUGAUUAUCGCUGCAUCGGCACUCAUCUUCAAACCAUCUGACAAAGCAUCCACCGCCUACACAUUCUCCAGAUCCUCCUCCUCCUCUCUCCACUCGAGCAGCUCUGUGACGCCAAGCCUUACGACAACCAAAGCACAGACACAUCCCCUGCCUCAGGCAGCUGAACGGCUGUUUGUGUGCGUUUUGAAGAACUACGGCGUCGUGGUGCCAGACGGAUUAUGUGACGUCUUGUUGCUCACCUACC